Molecule: ribosomal RNA, 404 nt
Filed under: Fusobacteriota bacterium
Lineage: Bacteria; Fusobacteriati; Fusobacteriota
Description: Fusobacteria bacterium partial 16S ribosomal RNA
Rfam family: Bacterial small subunit ribosomal RNA
Source: RNAcentral
UGGGGAAUAUUGCACAAUGGAGGGAACUCUGAUGCAGCGACGCCGCGUGAGUGAUGAAGGAAUUCGUUUCGUAAAACUCUGUUCUAUGGGAAGAAAAGGACUGUACCAUAGGAGAAAGCUCCGGCUAAAUACGUGCCAGCAGCCGCGGUAAUACGUAUGGAGCGAGCGUUGUCCGGAAUUAUUGGGCGUAAAGGGUGCGCAGGCGGCUUUACAAGUUGGAUGUGAAAUAUUGUGGCUCAACCACAAACGUGCAUCCAAAACUGCAAAGCUUGAGUUAAGGAGAGGUAAGUAGAAUUCCUGGUGUAGCGGUGGAAUGCGUAGAUAUCAGAAGGAAUACCGGUGGCGAAGUCUACUUACUGGACUUAAACUGACGCUCAGGCACGAAAGCGUGGGGAGCAAACAGG